UUUUAGGCCAAUGGGGAAUCUUCAUUAGGGACAAAGCCGAGGAGAGAAAACAACCAUCCGGAAAUGGAAAAUACCAAAGAAACAAAACAGAGCAGCAUACAAAAAUUAGAAAAACGUGGGAAAAUGGGUCUCGCCCAGAAGCCAAGACGGGGGAGAAAAAGCAGAGCACAACACGAAAGCGGGGCUAUGGUCCAAUCUGCUAUCCUCACCCAUCUCAAGUACACAUAGUUUAAGAGGGGCAGGGGAGACCAUCUUUGGGAAUAGAGAGGAUGGGGGCGUUAUGAUCCAAACAUCUGAACGCAUCCCUCUUUUACAAUGCCAAGCAACCCAAUCGGUUGCAAAAUUCGCUUGACGAGGAAUCCACCACCAGCUAAUCCAAUGAAAGCGAUGAGUGAGAUUCCGAAUUUCGAUUAAUAGGGGAAAGAUGGUCCAAUGUCCCUUCUUGAAGUCACCCUUGAUGCCUCUAAUGAGCUCCUGCGAAUCCGAUUCACAGGCCACAUCUUGGAAAUUGUUACCGAUCGCUGAACGGACAGCAAGCAGAGCUGCCUUAGCUUCAGUUUGGAGAGCAAAAGAAGACAAACAAGGUUUGGAUGCGCCCGCAAUAAUAGAGCCGCUGGAGGUACGAAAAACAACUUCCAAAAGUCACCACACAUCUGGUGGGAACUCUGACAAUUGCCCCUACAGUGAUCAAGUAUUAAGCAUUCUUGUCUCGCUUUGUCAGCGCCCUCCUACAACUAUUAAGAGAAGCAUGGCGAUUAUAGAACGAAGGAAGCCCAUUGGAAGUGAUUGAUAAAGGUAUAGGAGAUUCGCCUUCUCUAUCGUACGUCUUACAUUACAUUCUCAUUGGUAAUAUCAUUGUUAACCCAACAAUAAUAACCAAAUGGCUACUACCCUUUGUAGUUGGGAACUAAUGGUGCAUUGGAUUAGCCUAAUUAAUCUGGUUUCUUUAUCGAAAGGGAAUAAUAUGAAGCAGGUUCAUCUUCAGAUAAUCAAACAUUUUGUACCAACAAAUUAUCCAUUACUCGUUUGGAGGCUCGAUAAGGAUCGUUUUAUUUGUUGUAAAUUAGUUCAUACAGUACUAGAAUUCUGGGCAAAGCACACUGUUUUUGUAAAUUGUGGCCUUUGGCAUUUAUACACAACUAGCAUAUACUGCUUAUUUAGCUAUUGAUCUCAGACUACAAUGCAAAAUACCCUUUUGUCAACAAAGCAGCAGAGGUAUGU
This is a non-coding RNA of Malus domestica (apple), 1221 nucleotides long. The record is from RefSeq and is a predicted model, not a curated record. NCBI's taxonomy places the organism in Eukaryota, Viridiplantae, Streptophyta, Magnoliopsida, Rosales, Rosaceae.